UUAAAGGCACAACACCACAAUCUGCUCCACUGGUUUUACAUUUUGUGUCUAAUUCGUGCCUGUCUGAACAUUUCAGUACACUAAUGUAUUUCAUGUUUUAUGACACGUAAUGUUAUGUUUGUUCAUUUGUUUUGCUUUGCUUUAUUAUUUAUUAUUACAGGACAUAUUUAUACCUGGCUGUUUUUUCGUUCUUAUACUGUCUUUGGUCUCGAGUUCUGGUCUCGAGUUUUAUUGUCCAGAGUUUGCUCGUCUCAAGAUUCCGUCAUUCCAACCCUGUGGUUUCUCUGUACGUUUUAGGACAUUCUUAGCCUCCUGUUUAGUUUAGCCUUUUCGUUGUUAAGGGAACUUUGCUGUUUUUUCCAUAUUUGGUCUGGGUUCAAGGAUUCCAGGAUUUAUCUUCCCGGAUUUUUCCAAUCGAGUUGCUCUCUCUGAGCUUUAACAUUCCCUUUUUUUGCUUUUGCCUUAAUCUUCUGUGUGUUGUAUUAUUCCUUAUUUUUUGAAGAAAUAAAAGAGAGUUUUUUUGUUAUUCUGCACUUGGGUCCUACUUUGUUAAUUGAGAUCCUCACUGAACCGGUAAUCCAGCGGCUUGGUUUCAACUCCUGACCCCGGCCCUGACAUUUUUAGUAGCUUUAUUUGGUCUAUAUUUGCAUUUUUAUGAAUAAAUAGAUCCAUGUAGUCAACUUUACUUUCUUAUCCAUACCGUUUAUCUACAGCUUGCUUGAUCAGCCACAAUAUGUUUCUGUUCUUGUUGCAUUUCAAAGUAUCAGUUCUUGAAAGCCUUGCCUCGCUGUAGCAAAGGGAGGGAGCAGUCACCCCACCCGACCUUGACCCGGGUCGCCAGGGUACUAAACCUGCACUCUGACUGCAACGCCAAAGAGACAGGGUUAACGGUAUGGCAGUCAGAGCACAGACUCAUCUGUAGUGGCGGCACUCCGUCACACUCACUCUCUCACCUGAUGCCAGCUCAGUUAGAAGCAUGAAAAAGGCGGACACUGCUGGGGCACAUUCAAUCUGAAAAUGGUGUGCACUGACAAAAAGUGUGUUGCCACGGCUUCCGGGUUGAACGACAUUUUUCUUGAAAUGGUGUGCAUCCAGCUUUGCAAGAUAAGAAUAAAAACUUGAAAAAACACGUGUUUAAACUGAUUUCAUCAGGCUCCAAAAUCCUUCAAAAAGAAUGCAAGGACUGGCCUUCUCAGCUGCGCAGCCUUCUUCUGUUUAAGUGAACAUGUUUGCUGUUUUGUCUGUUUGCUGAUUUGUCUGUUUGCUGUUUUGCUGUGUACAGCCCCAGGCAAGGCUACCUUGGUGGUAUUCCAAGUAAGUGGUUUAGUGACAAACCUGGGUAAGUUAACUCAGAAUAGGUGGUAAACCUCCUACUAGAGGAGCCCAAUGCCUUUGUUUUGCUAGGAGAAUGACGCCAUAGGGCUCCUCUAUAAGAGAUAAUAACUUACUCUGAGUUAACUUCCCCAG
This is a long non-coding RNA of Clupea harengus (Atlantic herring), 1467 nucleotides long. The record is from Ensembl. Lineage: Eukaryota; Metazoa; Chordata; Actinopteri; Clupeiformes; Clupeidae.